UAUUGCACAAUGGGCGCAAGCCUGAUGCAGCCAUGCCGCGUGUAUGAAGAAGGCCUUCGGGUUGUAAAGUACUUUCAGCGGGGAGGAAGGCAACAAGGUUAAUAACCGUGUUGAUUGACGUGACCUGCAGAAGAAGCAGCGGCUAACUCUGUGCCAGCAGCCGCGGUAAUACGGAGGGUGCAAGCGUUAAUCGGAAUUACUGGGCGUAAAGCGCACGCAGGCGGUCUGUUAAGUCAGAUGUGAAAUCCCCGGGCUUAACCUGGGAACUGCAUUUGAAACUGGCAGGCUUGAGUCUCGUAGAGGGGGGUAGAAUUCCAGGUGUAGCGGUGAAAUGCGUAGAGAUCUGGAGGAAUACCGGUGGCGAAGGCGGCCCCCUGGACGAAGACUGACGCUCAGGUGCGAAAGCGUGGGGAGCAAACAG
RNAcentral lists this ribosomal RNA (421 nucleotides) under uncultured bacterium. RNAcentral describes it as "bacterial SSU rRNA". It matches the Rfam family "Bacterial small subunit ribosomal RNA", at positions 362 to 775 of the family's 1533-position model. The record is from RNAcentral.